AUAUGGUAUAUUAUAAACUCCAGAGUAACUGUAUUUGUGCAGAAAUCACCAGCAAGUGGUUAUUAUGUAACCCUGUAUGUUUUCUAUAUAAGAGUUUAUGUAUACAAUGAGGCUGACUGUCUUUAAUUUAAGAAAACUGGUUUUGCUUUCUGAAGUCUUUCUUUAUGACUUUUUAGAUACACGAUCAGGAGAAAAUUAUUUUGUCUAAAAACUUUGCUCUACAAGAGCACAACAAUCUUUUUUUUCUUUUAUGCUGCUUCUUGUAUGACAUAACAACUAUGUUUUUCAGAAAUUGGCUUUGUCUCUUAUGUUCUGGGUUGCCUGUAUGUCCAAGAGGAGGUAAAAAUGAUUGCUGUGAGAGCAACUGAGAGUGGCAAAUUGAGAUUUCAUUGAGUCAUUCUAUAAGCAGGAUUCUCUUUCCACACUCAUGUACAAAAGAGAAUUGGAGAAGAAUAGUCAAGUUAAAUUUUGUGAGCAUUGCAUUUAAUCAGAAAUGGUUUGAUAUGUUUUGGUAAGCAAGCCAUUAUUCAAAGUAGGUCAAAUAGUGUGUAUUUGCAUACAAGGCAUAUUAAGGCCACACAAGUAACCUCCAUUCCUCCAAAGUUAGUUUAGGUAACUAUGUUAAGAAACUAGGACAUAUGUUAAGAAUAUAUUUAUUUUGUGUGUCUUAUUUUUGAUUACCAACAGAAUGCUUGUUGCUAAGCGGGGUAGAGCAUUUCUUCUUGAUACAUUUUUAAUUUUUUUUUAAUCUAAAAAACCCUUAAUUCAUAUAUGUCAUAGAAUCAUAGAAUUGCACUGGUUGGAAAAGACGUUAAAGAUCAUCGAGUUCCACCACGACCAAACCAUGCUACCCUAACAGCCCUCCACUAAAUCGUGUCCCUGAGCAAACUAGUGUAAUUCACUAGUUCAGUGAAUAAUUGUUUUUUACCUUUGAUCUUAGGGGAGCUUUGUUAUUGCUUUUUAAAUGAUUUUUUAAAUUGUCUUUUCACUGUAUCCAAGAACUUUGGAUCAAUGAAUCUAAAUCAAAAAUCAAUGAAUCUACCCAUGACUAUAAAUCACUUUGAGACUUGGAAGUCGUUAAGAGUUUUGCUUUAUAAACCAGAAAGAUUAUUAAUCCAUUCAGAUCUUCUGGACGGUAUUUAUCGUACUAUUGAACCAAAAAGUUAUGGGGAAAUCUUGCUUUCUUAAAGCCUGAUGCUUUUCUAAAUCAAGAUUGAUUGUCUCUUAGAUGUAGGAUAAUUGAUCACACAUUUGGAUUUUUUUUUCUCUGUGUUUUAAUUGUACCUGCUUUCAUUUCUUGCUUCUGGUUUUAAUUAUAUUGUUUCCUUUCAUUUAAAAUGUGAUUUGCACAGUACGGUGAGGCAAACUAGAGAUAGGAGUAUGAGUAAUGGAUGCCAGCUAUUCUGGAAAGUAAUCCUAGAAAAUUGGUGGCCUCAGAUAGCAUUUGUAAAUGAGAAUCUUAGAGUUGACUCAAGAGUCUGAAUGUUCAUGAGUGGCCUGUGUAGCUUCAUCAGUUGUGAUGUGCCUCUUCAGAAGGGAGACUACUGCAUUGUAGAUUCUUCGGCUUGUCUUUGCCCAGGAGCACCUGCCUUGUUGGUGGUUCUUUGUUCAUUAAUCUCUUUGUUGUGCACUUGAUUGCUCAGGACUUACAUGAGAUCAUAAUGGAAUAGGCAGUCAUGUAAUAUGCAGAAAAUGCAAAGCUCUGCGCAGUCUUCAUCUUAGCUACAAUUCAUACUCACCAGUGGUUGAUGCAGAUUUUGAAAGACCAGUGAGAAUUAAUCAGAAACAGGUCUGUAGUUCUAAAGGAGGUGCAGUCCUGCAAUAAUCAGGAGCAAGGUUCAUGAGCUCAUGGUAAUGAUGUUCCACCAGCAGACCAAAUUGACAAGUCUGUAAUGAAGAGGCAAAUCCAAGGGCAAGCUAGCAGGUAAGGAUCUACCUGCUAGCUUGGAGGGAGGUACUUGGGUGGGCCUGGGCAUACUUGCAGCAUAGCUUAGAGGAGGAUCAAGGGUGAUGCAGUUCCCAGUCAAAGCCUUUGGCAGAGCUUUCCAGAGCUUUUUCACACAACUCUUCUCGUAGCAGUCCGGUACCCAAUUACUUGGCUGUACUCUGCUAGAGCUGGCUUUAAGUACAGGCAAUGAAACCCUUGGCAAAGGAAGAGGUAGCAGAGCCUGUUAGUGUACUUAGAGAUUUGGCAUGAAGCAUGUUCAGAUUCUUGGGAUUGAUAAAAAGCAUUGAUAAAAGACUAGGAGGGAAAGAUUUGAGAGCUUCAACAGAAGCUGACAUAUUAAUGCAGCAUCAUUGCAACUAAUUAACUUCAUAAUGCAGCCAAAAAAGGCAUUUAUUAGGGUAUCAUUUUUGUUACAUCAACUUUUAUUUAGCUAACCACACCACUUUCCAUACUACAGGAAUCAUUGUUGAUUCAGUAUGGCCAUUCCUAGAAGCUGAGCAGCUGCUGAGGUAUUUUUUUGUAUUUAAGAUUCCUGCUCUGAGGUAAGUGACUGUAUGCUGUAGCCUUCUGGAAACCCUGACUUUUUGUAUGUAUGAAAUUUAGUGGUGAUAAUCAGUUAGGAAAAAGAAAAAAAAAAAAAAAGAAAAAGCUCACUGUGAGUAACUUCCCUUUUAGAGGUUAAAUGUGAGUGGAAUUGUGGAAUACUAGCAAGAGACUGAAUCUGAUGUACUUGAGUACUUGAGCUUAUACUUGAGUACUUCUUUAUUCCACAAGCACUGUUGUUUACAUCAGGCCUUCAGUCAUUCAGCUAACAAUGAACCAGAAUUUCUUGUGUAACUUUCUUUUAAAAAUGCUGUUAACAGACCAAGAAGCAGUUCCUGUGGCUGCAUAAUUGUUUGAAAUGGAGGGCAUUCUCCAGUUUACACACAACAGGAGUGCUAUGCUCCUCAACUGUGGCAAAGAGGUUCUGCUGGCCAGCAAAACUCCAUGCUUCACUCUCUAACCAUCUCCUCACUUAGCAGAUGAUGGGUGAUGUGAAGCACUCAGUCUCUAUUUUGUCUUUUGGCCCAGGAGGUUAUGAGGAUAUUUCAGAAGUGAUUCCAUUCUCUCAGGGAUGCCAUGACAUCACAGAACUUGCCUUCCCAGGCCCAAGAUGAUGCGUUGGGCAGUGGCAUGAUUUACCAGGUUACUGUUCUGGAGGGACUUCAAUCACACAGCUAGCUUGAUUGCAGCACGUUCCACACUGCUGGGUGAGCUGUGUGGUAGCCUCGAUGGACAGGUCCAUCCCUCAGUCAAGAGCCCAUCUGUGUGUGGCAUCUCUCCACAGACACCCUGAUGUUUCAUGGAUUCACGAAGCCACAGACAGCUCCUAGUCGAAGGAGGGCCACUUCAGUUUUUGAAACCAAGUCUACUUGCUUAUUUUUCUGGUAUUCUUCAGAGGUUUGUUUCUUGAGUAUGUGAGCAUCUGUGUGCUGUACUUCUACAACAAUGUUUUCUGCUUGGACAGCAAUGCCUUGUAUGUCUUGUCACAGUGCAACAGCCCAGAUGAGUUCAUCUCUGCACCACUACUGUUCUGCUUCCAUUGCUGUAGCCACUCCCACAGGGUAUUUGGCACAAUCCAUGACCCAUUGUAGAUUACUGUCUGCUUUCUUCUUUUGGCAAUUUUUAGGGCCAGUUGGAUGUCUUUUACCUCUGCAAAUAGGUUAAACUUGCCUUCUCCUUCAGUACCUUCCUCAUCUCAUCACGUUGGACUCUAUACAGCAGCUUACUACUUCUGAUGGGUUCCUGCAACAUGGACAGGAUCCAGCAGAGACUGAAACAUGCAAUUUCUGUCUCUUCUGUUCUUGUAGUGCUCUAGAGCUCAGGGUGUAUUUUCAUUCAAGUAUUCCAUUGGGGUUUUUUUUUACGAUUCUGCACUUCAGAGAUGAAAUUCAAAAUCAUCACAACCAUGACAGGUACUUGUUCACAUUCUCCCACAUACCUUGCCACCCAUCACCACAUUGCCUUGGCGCAGAUACCUGGUGAUAUUCUUAACUAACUGUUUAAUCCUAGGAAGAAACAGAAGCACAUGGAAGCUUAGUAAUAAGAGUGUAUUGGUUUCAUCAACAAAAAGAACUCUCUACACCAAAAUCAACCUGUCAAUGUGGACAAUUUACACAUUCUCCACCCCUCAUCCUAUUACCACAUUACUACCUCGCAUAUUCUUCACAGCUGUUACGUCAUAAAUUCUUCUGUUACAUUCUUAGUCAAUGUCCAGUCUGUGUUUUGCCCAUUACUUCUCUGCAUUAUCAUUCUUAUGUUUAAUUCCUUGAGCCCAAAGGGGAUGCCACAAACAACUGAGGUGGUUUCACACUGAUGGGCAGCCUCUCAUUCCAGCUCCUCAAAGGAAAAGGGAAGGGGAGAAAAUAUGAUGAAAUACAAAAGGCUUAUAGGUUGAGAUAAGGAUAAUGUAAGUAAGGGGGAAAGAAAGAGAAAUACAAUCAUGAUUUUAAAAAUAAAAAAAAAAAAUGGAAAAAGGAAAAGCCAUGUGGAAGAAAAGAGAGGGAAAAUAGUUAUUCUCUAUGACCUGUCACCAAAAGAUGUUUGGAAAAAUCUUGUAACACAGGACUUCAUUGCAUGUAGCAGUUAUUUGGGAGCACAGACGUUUUCAUAACAAAAGCUCUCCUCCUUCCCCUUUCCCACUUUCAUUGCUGAGCCAUGGUAUGGAAUGUGUCUUUGGUUGGUUUAGGCCAGCUGCUCUGGCAAUGUCUUCUCCUCACCUCUUGACCACCCGCCACUUGCUGGCUUUUGGGGUACUGGAGAGAGUCUUAAUAAUGGGCCGGUGCUGUGCAGCAGCAGCCAAACCAUUGGUGUGAUAUCAACAGUGUUCUGCUACAGCUCAGAGCACUCGUGGGGAGCGUUAACUCCAAGCCAACCAGACCCAGUUCUGAGGGAGUAAGAAUUUUCAAACUAUUCCAUCUUCCUUUGCGCCAACCUUUUCUGUGUGCGUGUGUUUGCGUUAGGUGGGAAAAUGAGUAAUAGACCUGAGUUCAAGGAAGAGAGACUCAAAGGGCAAACUUCCAAUUUUGUCUGCAAGUAGCAGAACAGCUUGCCUGGGGAGUCUGUGUGGUGCCCACUGGAAGAUUUGCAAUGUCAGAUGAAACAUCUGCAGGAACACCAGAGGUACAGAUGAGCGUGUCUGAGGAGGGGGAAUGGAUAUGUAAACCUGGGAGGGCCCCUCAAGCGUGGUGAUUGUAGAGUUGGUUGUAGCAGGGAACAGGCAUGCGGCAGUAAUGACUGGAGUCAUUUUUCCCUUUUGCCCCAUCCUUCAGCUGAAUUGCUCACUAGUUUUAUCUUUGUAUCUCUUUCAUGAAGAUUAAGUACUUUUUUGGUGUGCAUCCAUAGCUAAUAUAUUUUGUCUGAUCUUGGGAAGCAUGGGUUUUAUAAGAUGAAUGAAAGUGCAUAAAUCUAUUAAUAAACUUCAGCUCUUGAUCAUUA
Molecule: long non-coding RNA, 5425 nt
Organism: Tympanuchus pallidicinctus (lesser prairie-chicken)
Lineage: Eukaryota; Metazoa; Chordata; Aves; Galliformes; Phasianidae
Exons: 2
Source: RefSeq, a predicted model, not a curated record